GAUGAAGAACGUAGCGAAAUGCGAUAAGUAAUGUGAAUUGCAGAAUUCAGUGAAUCAUCGAAUCUUUGAACGCACAUUGCGCCCGCCAGUAUUCUGGCGGGCAUGCCUGUUCGAGCGUCAUUUCAACCCUCAGGCCCCCAGUGCCUGGCGUUGGGGAACGGCGCGGCGCCCUCCGGGGCGCUGCCGGCCCCGAAAUUCAGUGGCGGUCUCGCUGUAGCCCUCCUCCGCGUAGUAGCACAACCUCGCGGCCUGGAGCUCGGCGGUGGCCAUGCCGUAAAACACCCCACUUCUGAAAGUUGACCUCGGAUCAGGUAGGAAUACCCGCUGAACUUAAGCAUAUCAAUAAGCGGAGGA
This 354-nucleotide unclassified non-coding RNA is filed under the name soil metagenome. Its description in RNAcentral is "partial contains 5.8S ribosomal RNA, internal transcribed spacer 2, and large subunit ribosomal RNA". The stretch from base 1 to 120 matches the Rfam family "5.8S ribosomal RNA", at positions 35 to 154 of the family's 154-position model. The record is from RNAcentral.